AUGAGAGAUGUGAACAAGUACUUUUCUCUAUUCUUCCUACUAACAAGUAGUUUCAUUCAAUGUGCUUACAUGAGAUGUGAACCCACAAAUUCAGUGAGCUGGGAACUCAAAAUUCCAAUGAGGUGCGAGAUGCAGCAAAUUAUACUCAUCGUAUGCCUCGUUAUUAUUGUUGUUGUGUCGUUUUAUUCCCAGUCGACGGCCGCUGCGGUGCCCACGUCCGCGUCAUUAGUGCUGCUAAGGGGCACUUCACCCUAUUCGGCAUUAUCUUCUAUUCUUCCUACGGCUGCAAGAACCCUCACCUUGGCUAUGGCAGAUGCGACAGAUAAAGCAGGAGUCCAAUCAAGACAACUUGCAACUUUGGUGUUGUCACAUUGGAGUCCGUGCUGA
RNAcentral lists this ribosomal RNA (387 nucleotides) under Triticum aestivum (bread wheat). Its description in RNAcentral is "partial small subunit ribosomal RNA". Lineage: Eukaryota; Viridiplantae; Streptophyta; Magnoliopsida; Poales; Poaceae. The record is from RNAcentral.